Molecule: long non-coding RNA, 2673 nt
Organism: Cygnus olor (mute swan)
Lineage: Eukaryota; Metazoa; Chordata; Aves; Anseriformes; Anatidae
Exons: 3
Source: RefSeq, a predicted model, not a curated record
UUCAAAGAAUUGGCGAUGCCUUCAGUCUCCUCAGAGGACUCCCUGGAAAAGCUGACCCAGCUAUCUGUCUUUGCUGCCUGGGGAUUGCGCCUGCGGCUGGUGCCCAAAACCUCAGCUGAAAUCUGUGUGCAAGAGGGGGAACACAACAGUUUAUUCAAGCUCCAUUGUCCCCACCAUCUUUCAUGUGUCUUUCACAUCAAGAGAGUCAAGGAACUCCAUAUCUAAUGAACUCACAAAAGGAGACAGCGCCACAUAUAUGGGGCCUGUCAUCAUGUACAACUUCCAUCAUAAGUUGCUGGAACUGUUAGCAUUUACUGUGCUUAUAACUCAACAACGCCAGGAGACUGGCCAAACAUUGUUCUAAUACCACCUAUAUUUCUAAAUUAUCAUUUUUAUUAUUAUUAUUAUUAUUUUUAAGCUCAGUCUCUAGCAUGGUUUUGGCCCAGGUUAGCUAAUAUCUUCCAAAACAAUUCCUGGGUAUUGUUCAGGCAUUAUCACAAGCCAGGAAUCUUUCCAACUGCGCAAUUUGGAUGCAGCCGGACUGCUUCAGAUUUCAGCUGUGUGGAUGUACGCCCUGGUGGGCAGGUGGCUGCUGGGUCAAGGAACGGGUGCUGGCUCUCUUCUUUACCAAUGUAGGUGUCUCCUGAGUGCAGUGAGAACCGGGUUUGUGCCCAGACUUGACAAAUGUCCAUCCCAAGUUGGACUGUGCUUAGUUAUGUUAUGGUCUGCAAGAGUCAUUCUGCUGGAUGUGUACAUCCGUGCUUCUACUAUUACCAUAUGUCUGGGUUUUUCUUUUUUUUUUUUUUCUUUUUUUUUUCUUUUUUUUUUUUUUGAAAUUUUUCCAUGUAUAUGUCAGGCUGCUAUCUCCUUCCUUGGAUCACUUGACUUCUUUGCCCUUUUCCAGCUGUCUGGCCUAGUGCACUCCGUUGAUUUAGAAGACGAAGCUGCAGCUCUGCCCUCUCUAGCUUUGAAUUUUUAGCUGUUUUCCUAUUGCUGUUCAUCUAUGUGGGAGGUUCCUCUCUACCCUGACCCUACACAGCUCUGUCUCACCAGGUGUCCCUUCUCCAUUAUACACACCUCAGGAAGGAGACAGGUUAAGAUAACUAGGAUCCCAAACAAGAUUUUGAAGUGGAUACCCUCAAGUGUAUAAAUGAAGGACAACUAUAACUCUUUAGAGAAUCCCAAAACCUGUUUAUUUUCCCUCCUUGAUCUCAUCAUACCCUCUCUCAGCAAACCAGGCUCAGUCUCAUGCUCUUCCCCCAUUCACCAGCUCCCCAGUCCCAUGAAACCAAAGCACUGCCUCCCUCUCCAUGCCAUAUCCACCUUGUGCAUCCCCCUCUCUGUGUUUUCAGGUGCUCAGUCCAGCACAGCCACCACAAGCUGCUGAUUUGCUCUUGGGGAGGGGGGCUUGGAUGGGUCACAUCUCAGGGCUCCCAAACGACAGGGCCCCUGAAUGUUGCUUAUACCUAAAGCAAGUUGUGGCCCAGAUCCUGAUGGUCCAGGGAAGCCUUUUUGGAAGGGAGCUUGUUUCCAGGCUAUGUUCCACAUCUUCCUUUGGAAAUCUGUAUUCACAGCCUCCCCAUCCAGCUCAUUUCCUCACAGACAGUUCUUAAUAAAAAACAGCAUGGGCUGAAAAAGACCAUUCCAGCAAAGAGGUCAACUUGCCUUUGUCCCUGCAGCAUUCGUGCUGCCUUGCACCCAUUCCUUCCUCUCCUAUCCUUUGGAGUUCAGAGGCUACAGAGCCUGAAGCUUGCUUAUUCAACUCACAACUGCUCCUGCUCAGGGAAGAAGGGAUUUCGGAAGGACAUGGUACUCCUCAUGAAGUGUUUGCUGUUGGCUGAUGGUCUGUGCUCCCCAGGAGAGAGGUUUCCCAGUAGCAACGCUACAGACAGCAUCUCCCUGGGUUCUGUCCUUCCCACCCAGUGGGUCAGCUUGGCCCAGCUUUCCGUGCCUCUAAGGCAGAAAAUGAAAAGGGGGAAUGUGUGUUAAGCCCUUUCAUUAACAACCAGAAAAGCCCAACACAAGUGACCCUCAGUGAACAUCCCCCCCUUCCUUGUCCACGUAUCUGCUGCCCCCAGCCACUUGCCCCUGACGGCGCAUUCCAGCCAGGACGGGGCUUGUGCCCUACACAGCAGUUCUGUCCCUCUCCCAGCUCAGCCACUCAUCGGACAGAAAGCCAUAGAAAUGAAAUGAUUACUCUCUGUUUCUAUACACAUGGGGCAUUGAUCCUAGGGUCUGUUUUAUGGGCUGGGGAGGGGGGAAACGGGAUGGGGACAGGGUGGGGGAGAGCAGGAGCGUGUUUCAUUUAUAAAAUCAAGCCCUGUUCUAGUGAAAAUUGAAGUUCCUGUUUCUUUCCCUCUGUAUUAGACUCCCUGUCGUCUUACAGGAAGUCUUAAUAAAGUCUCCAGGGAAGUUUAAAAUGAAUUUUAAAAAAUCAUAAUCCCCAUAUGGAAGCAUUGGCAUCAGUAAGAUAUACCACUGUGUGAUAGCAUGGAGCCAGGGAAUAUUUGAAGGCCUGUAAAAUAAACUCGUUAAAUCAGUAUUCUGAAUGUGCUGCCUAUGGAGAAAGCCCCCCGUCAGCUACUUCCUAUCUCUUGAGUGAAGAAAAAGAUGUGCCUGGAUUUUGGAACCCAGCAGCUUGAGGCUGGGAUGCGGGGAGAACAGCACUUCAUU